Molecule: ribosomal RNA, 253 nt
Filed under: uncultured bacterium
Lineage: Bacteria
Description: partial 16S ribosomal RNA
Rfam family: Bacterial small subunit ribosomal RNA
Source: RNAcentral
UACGGAGGAUCCGAGCGUUAUCCGGAUUUAUUAGGUUUAAAGGGUGCGUAGGCGGACUUGUAAGUCAGCUGUGAAAGUUUACGGCUCAACCGUAAAAUUGCAGUUGAAACUUUAGGUCUUGAGUAUACAUGAGGUGGGCGGAAUUUGUGGUGUAGCGGUGAAAUGCUUAGAUAUCACAAAGAACUCCAGUUGCGAAGGCAGCUCACUGGGGUAUAACUGACGCUGAUGUACGAAGGUGUGGGGAGCAAACAGG